UUUAUUUCUAAACGCCGCUCUUCCCUCUCUCUCUCUCUCUCUCUCUCUCUCUCUCUCUGUUCUUCCAAUCUUUUUCUUCUCAUUUUCGUUUUCAAUAUUCUUUCUUCCUUCACUGCUAGGGUUACGUUUUCUUCACUUCACUGGGUGAAGUAUAGUUGGCUGUAGUGUUGAAUCUUCAAUAGGAAACACUAUAGUUCAUGAUUAUUUUACUUGAUUGGUACUUAUAUGGAGGAUUUGCGGCGGCGAGGAGAAUAAUGUAAUUAACUAAUGUGAUAAGAUUUUAAUUCAUUAAAUCAGAUAAGUUGAAGAGAUCUAUAUAUUUGUUAGUAAAGAAUUGAAAUGGCUAUUGCUGGUUUGCACAGUGUGUCGAUGCUGGAUUCUUCUUUAUUGAGGGACUCGCAGUCUCAGGCGUCUAGGAGGAGGGGAGAUGGAAGAAGGGGUAGCACUCGGUCGUCUUCACUUUUGCACAUGUGGCGAGAGAUUGAGGAUGAACAUGCAGUGAGUCAAGUUCAAGGUAGCAAUGGGUUGAUUGCGGAUCUUUCGUUAGAAGAUACACCUGAUAGCCCAGAGAUAGGACGGAGGCAUGGUUUGGACGAUGCUGUUUUUGGUGAGAAUGAGUCGGAAACAUGGUCACAGUCACAAAGUCAGAAUGAAUCACAUGAUGGUCAUGAGGAUUUAAACAAUUCUAGCUGUGAAAAUUCUUCUGUUUUUGGAGAAGUUGAAAGGGAAAGAGUGAGACGAAUUUUCAGGGAAUGGAUGAAUAGUGGAUCUAGGGAUUGUGGAUCAACUAUUUCCCGAAGAAGUAGCAGUCCAAGGAGAGAAUGGCUUGGAGAAACUGAACAGGAAAGAGUGAGAGUUAUAAGGGAGUGGGUACAAAUGAGCAGCCAGCAGAGAAACGUUUCUUCUGGGGAAAAUAGGGAACAACCAUGUGCUGAAAUUGGUACACAAAUUGAACGUGUGCGUGAUGGAUUUGUGGUUAACAGUGGUGGUGGCCAAAGUGAACAUAUACUGAGGGGUAUGCGUAAAAUACGUGGCAGGCAGGUUAUGCUAGAUAUGCUUAAGAAGGCUGAGAGGGAAAGGCAGAGGGAAAUUCAGGAGUUGCUGGACCAUCAGGCUGUAUCUCGUUUUCCCCAUCGCAAUCGCAUUCAGGCAUUGCUUAGAGGCAGGUUCUUGAGAAAUGAUAGAUCUACUGAUCAUAACAGGUCCACAUCUGUAGCAGAAAGUGAAUUAGGCCUAUUAAGGCGAAAGCAAACUGUAUCAGGUCUUAGGGAAGGGUUCUUCUCUAGAAUGGACAGUACAGGUUCCAGUCCUGCACCCAGCAGCCUAUCUGACACCUCGUCAAACAUUGAUAUUGAUUUUAAUACAAAUGAGCAAGCUGGAGAAAGCAGUUCAUGUAUUGUCGUUGGAGAUAAUAGUACUGGGAUAUCUGGUGGACACUGUCUAGAAGGAACUACAUGUGAGAGUUUUAAUUGGCAAGAAUCUAUUACUGCCCAUGCAGAUGGAAAUCAGUUGCAGUGCUUGCAAAUUGAAUCAGUAGAUGGGCAGUCAUCAUCAGUCAGUGUUGUAUGUGAAAGAAGAGAUGACACUGGACAAAAUGUUGAUGUGGUGGCAAUCAGAGAUGACAUUGGGCAAAAUGUUGAUGUGGUGGCUAUCAGAGAUACAGCUAAUGAACUAAUCCAACAAAGCUUACAAAUCCAUGAUUCAGAGCAUAGCAGUAAUCAGGAAUCCAGCGAGGUGCACAUUGGGCAAUCUGAGCUGAGUGAUAUAGGUAUCGAUGAAAACGAUUCAUCGAAUCACAAUGGUUAUUCCGAGGGCAAUGCUGUCGAUAAUGUUAAUUAUGGGUCCAGUGCUCUAGAAGGACCUCCGGAAGAUAUUGUUGAAACUGAAGGAAAUGACUGGCAUCAGAGUAACACAGAAUGGAGAAAUAACACUGAUGAAAGUGGGGAUGAUAAUCAGCUCAGCAAUACCGCAAAUGAGUGGCCUGAAAAUAUUUGGGCAAAUGAGGAUGGAGAAAAUCCUCGUCUGCCAGAAGCUUCUGAAGUGUGGCAAGAGGAUGGUGGCUUCCAAGAAGCGGUGGAAAAUUGGUUGGGAGGACCUUCUAACAAUGAAACUGCUCCAGGUGGUAGAGUUAAUAAUUUUUAUUUUCCUGAUGAUGACAAUGUAUACAGUGUUGAACUCAGGGAGCUUCACAGUAGGAGACGCGUCUCUAAUCUUCUCGGCAGUAGUUUCCGUGAGAGUCUUGACCAGUUGAUACAAUCAUAUGUUGAAAGACAAGGUCAUGCUAACAUGGAGUGGGAUAUGGAAGAAGCAACCCCUUCAGCUGCUUUAGUAGAACAGAACCUCGAGCAUCAGAGGGGAGAUCAGAUUGUUGAUCAAGAGACUACUAUUAAUAAUUCACCUGACUUGCCCUCUUUGCAUACACCGCCUACUCCACCUCUUUGGGAUCAGCAUCCUCAUGAUGAUAACUGGCCACACAAUGAUGAUUUGGAGAUGAUUAAUGAUUUGAGACUUGACAUGGCUAGAUUACAUCAAAGAAUGAAUAGUAUGCAGAAGAUGUUGGAGACAUGUAUGGAUAUGCAGCUUGAAUUGCAGCGUUCAAUAAGACAAGAAGUUUCUGCAGCCCUAAAUCGCUCAGGUGAUUCACCAGGAAUACAUGAGUGCGAUUCACCAGUUGACAGUUCUAAAUGGGAAUGUGUGAGAAAAGGACUUUGCUGGAUUUGCGGCGAAGGCAAUAUUGAUUCUUUGUUGUACAGAUGUGGGCACUUGUGCACAUGUUCAAAAUGUGCCAAUGAGUUGCUUCAAAGUAGAAGGAAGUGCCCAAUGUGUCAAGCCCCUGUUUUGGAGGUGAUACGAACUUAUUCUAUACUAUAAAUAUUGACUUUACAAUAAAGGUCAUACUUAACAAUAUACAGGACUCUAACAAGUUGUAUCUCUGGACGUGUCUCCAGGUGGCUGGAUGGUGUUUUAUACUUAUAUAUCAACCUCUCUCUGUACAUUAUGUAAUUGUGAUCUUGUUCUGAAGUGUCGACUCGACACUCAUGUUUGGGUUGCACACUGCAUAUAUCAAAAUCAAAUUGGUUUGGCCCUGAAGUGGAUUGCAUGCCUGACUGUUAUGGUCGGUAUCACAAGCUUAUUUGUGAUGUAAUUUUGAAUGAUAAUAGAGGUAACUUGAAAUAAUAUCAUAUCACAACUAGAAGCAACCAGAUUCAUCAUGAAAGAUUAUUUUGAUUUUUUUUUAAAUUGCUUUGUUGGAAACUUUGGUGGGCAACAUUGACAUCAGUUUCUACGCCAAGUUUUUCACUUUUAUCAAGCCAAGUAACUACUAUUUGUGGUGACAAUAUUUUAUCCCUGUUGUUGGUUUUGGAAUAUGACCUCACAACAUCCAAUCAAUUGCUUUGGGUAAGGGAAAUAUAUAGAAAACGAAGCGACUUCAAUGCUGCAUUAAAAUAAAGGCAAGAAGUAUUUGUUUAAUUGCGGUUUUCCAUCCUUUGCGUUGCACCCCAAUUUUAAGAGAACCCCAAUUUUAAGAGAAUAUCUUACCUCAUCUCUCGGGAGUUUUCACGAACCAUGUGCGUUUCCAAAAAUACUUUUUAUUUUUGGAGGUGUAUCUUCGGAAGCAUCUUAUUUUUACUCAACCUUGAUUUAUUCCGUAGGUGUAUAUAUGAAAUCUCUUAAUUGAAUUAUAUUGAAAUAUUUUUCAACGUUUAUCAGUUUAAAUUAUUUCCGUAGAUGUACAUCCGGAAAAACUCAAAAUUUGGCCAAAAAAUGGUGCUUCUU
Molecule: RNA transcript, 3777 nt
Organism: Vicia villosa (hairy vetch)
Lineage: Eukaryota; Viridiplantae; Streptophyta; Magnoliopsida; Fabales; Fabaceae
Exons: 10
Source: RefSeq, a predicted model, not a curated record